Molecule: ribosomal RNA, 493 nt
Filed under: Escherichia coli
Lineage: Bacteria; Pseudomonadati; Pseudomonadota; Gammaproteobacteria; Enterobacterales; Enterobacteriaceae
Description: partial 23S ribosomal RNA
Rfam family: Bacterial large subunit ribosomal RNA
Source: RNAcentral
GAAGGUGUGCUGUGAGGCAUGCUGGAGGUAUCAGAAGUGCGAAUGCUGACAUAAGUAACGAUAAAGCGGGUGAAAAGCCCGCUCGCCGGAAGACCAAGGGUUCCUGUCCAACGUUAAUCGGGGCAGGGUGAGUCGACCCCUAAGGCGAGGCCGAAAGGCGUAGUCGAUGGGAAACAGGUUAAUAUUCCUGUACUUGGUGUUACUGCGAAGGGGGGACGGAGAAGGCUAUGUUGGCCGGGCGACGGUUGUCCCGGUUUAAGCGUGUAGGCUGGUUUUCCAGGCAAAUCCGGAAAAUCAAGGCUGAGGCGUGAUGACGAGGCACUACGGUGCUGAAGCAACAAAUGCCCUGCUUCCAGGAAAAGCCUCUAAGCAUCAGGUAACAUCAAAUCGUACCCCAAACCGACACAGGUGGUCAGGUAGAGAAUACCAAGGCGCUUGAGAGAACUCGGGUGAAGGAACUAGGCAAAAUGGUGCCGUAACUUCGGGAGAAGGC